UGGGGAAUAUUGGACAAUGGGCGCAAGCCUGAUCCAGCCAUGCCGCGUGAGUGAUGAAGGCCCUAGGGUUGUAAAGCUCUGUCGACGGGGAAGAUAAUGACGGUACCCGUAGAAGAAGCCCCGGCUAACUUCGUGCCAGCAGCCGCGGUAAUACGAAGGGGGCUAGCGUUGCUCGGAAUCACUGGGCGUAAAGCGCACGUAGGCGGGUCUUUAAGUCGGAGGUGAAAUCCUGGAGCUCAACUCCAGAACUGCCUUCGAUACUGAGGAUCUCGAGUCCGGGAGAGGUGAGUGGAACUGCGAGUGUAGAGGUGAAAUUCGUAGAUAUUCGCAAGAACACCAGUGGCGAAGGCGGCUCACUGGCCCGGUACUGACGCUGAGGUGCGAAAGCGUGGGGAGCAAACA
This 402-nucleotide ribosomal RNA is filed under the name uncultured Rhodoplanes sp. RNAcentral describes it as "bacterial SSU rRNA". It matches the Rfam family "Bacterial small subunit ribosomal RNA", at positions 355 to 774 of the family's 1533-position model. Lineage: Bacteria; Pseudomonadati; Pseudomonadota; Alphaproteobacteria; Hyphomicrobiales; Nitrobacteraceae. The record is from RNAcentral.